AGCGAACGCUGGCGGCAGGCCUAACACAUGCAAGUCGAACGAAGUCUUCGGACUUAGUGGCGGACGGGUGAGUAACACGUGGGAACGUGCCCUUUGGUACGGAAUAACUCAGGGAAACUUGAGCUAAUACCGUAUGUGCCCUUCGGGGGAAAGAUUUAUCGCCAUUGGAGCGGCCCGCGUCUGAUUAGCUAGUUGGUGAGGUAAAGGCUCACCAAGGCGACGAUCAGUAGCUGGUCUGAGAGGAUGAUCAGCCACAUUGGGACUGAGACACGGCCCAAACUCCUACGUGAGGCAGCAGUGGGGAAUCUUGCGCAAUGGGCGAAAGCCUGACGCAGCCAUGCCGCGUGAAUGAUGAAGGUCUUAGGAUUGUAAAACUCUUUCACCGGGGACGAUAAUGACGGUACCCGGAGAAGAAGCCCCGGCUAACUUCGUGCCAGCCGCCGCAGUAA
RNAcentral lists this ribosomal RNA (449 nucleotides) under uncultured bacterium. RNAcentral describes it as "partial 16S ribosomal RNA". It matches the Rfam family "Bacterial small subunit ribosomal RNA", at positions 29 to 523 of the family's 1533-position model. The record is from RNAcentral.